Molecule: ribosomal RNA, 438 nt
Filed under: uncultured soil bacterium
Lineage: Bacteria
Description: bacterial SSU rRNA
Rfam family: Bacterial small subunit ribosomal RNA
Source: RNAcentral
AGAUUGAACGCUGGCGGAAUGCUUUACACAUGCAAGUCGAACGGCAGCACGGGACUCAGGCAACUGAGCCCUGGUGGCGAGUGGCGAACGGGUGAGUAACAUAUCGGAACGUACCCAGUCGUGGGGGAUAACUCUCCGAAAGGAGAGCUAAUACCGCAUACGUCCUGAGGGAGAAAGCGGGGGACCUAAGGGUAACUGAGGGCCUCGCGCGAUUGGAGCGGCCGAUAUCGGAUUAGCUAGUUGGUGAGGUAAAGGCUCACCAAGGCGACGAUCCGUAGCGGGUCUGAGAGGACGACCCGCCACACUGGAACUGAGACACGGUCCAGACUCCUACGGGAGGCAGCAGUGGGGAAUUUUGGACAAUGGGCGCAAGCCUGAUCCAGCAAUGCCGCGUGCAGGAUGAAGGCCUCGGUUGUAACGUAGCUUUGUUACGGUAAC